This 473-nucleotide ribosomal RNA is filed under the name uncultured Enterobacter sp. RNAcentral describes it as "bacterial SSU rRNA". It matches the Rfam family "Bacterial small subunit ribosomal RNA", at positions 911 to 1392 of the family's 1533-position model. Lineage: Bacteria; Pseudomonadati; Pseudomonadota; Gammaproteobacteria; Enterobacterales; Enterobacteriaceae. The record is from RNAcentral.
CGCCCGGGGCGCGCCCCGGGCGGGGCGGGGGCAUGGGGGGAACGCGAAGAACCUUACCUACUCUUGACAUCCAGAGAACUUAGCAGAGAUGCUUUGGUGCCUUCGGGAACUCUGAGACAGGUGCUGCAUGGCUGUCGUCAGCUCGUGUUGUGAAAUGUUGGGUUAAGUCCCGCAACGAGCACAACCCUUAUCCUUUGUUGCCAGCGGUUAGGCCGGGAACUCAAAGGAGACUGCCAGUGAUAAACUGGAGGAAGGUGGGGAUGACGUCAAGUCAUCAUGGCCCUUACGAGUAGGGCUACACACGUGCUACAAUGGCGCAUACAAAGAGAAGCGACCUCGCGAGAGCAAGCGGACCUCAUAAAGUGCGUCGUAGUCCGGAUUGGAGUCUGCAACUCGACUCCAUGAAGUCGGAAUCGCUAGUAAUCGUGAUCAGAAUGCCACGGUGAAUACGUUCCCGGGCCUUGUACACACCG